CGGAGGAAAAGAAACCAACAGGGAUUGCCUCAGUAACGGCGAGUGAAGCGGCAAAAGCUCAAAUUUGAAAUCUAGCACCUUCGGUGUUCGAGUUGUAAUUUGAAGAUGGUAACCUUGGGUUUGGCUCUUGUCUAUGUUCCUUGGAACAGGACGUCAUAGAGGGUGAGAAUCCCGUCUGAUGAGAUGCCCAUUCCUAUGUAAGGUGCUAUUGAAGAGUCGAGUUGUUUGGGAAUGCAGCUCUAAGUGGGUGGUAAAUUCCAUCUAAAGCUAAAUAUUGGCGAGAGACCGAUAGCGAACAAGUACAGUGAUGGAAAGAUGAAAAGAACUUUGAAAAGAGAGUGAAAAAGUACGUGAAAUUGUUGAAAGGGAAGGGCAUUAGAUCAGACUUGGUGUUUUACGAUUAUCUUCUCUUCUUGAGUUGUGCACUCGUAUUUCACUGGGCCAGCAUCGAUUCGGAUGGCAAGAUAAUGGCAGUUGAAUGUGGCUUCACUUCGGUGGAGUGUUAUAGCUUCUGCUGAUAUUGCCUGUCUGGAUCGAGGGCUGCGUC
RNAcentral lists this ribosomal RNA (547 nucleotides) under Wickerhamomyces sp. Z5Y30. RNAcentral's name for it is "eukaryotic LSU rRNA". It matches the Rfam family "Eukaryotic large subunit ribosomal RNA", at positions 51 to 601 of the family's 3401-position model. The record is from RNAcentral. Lineage: Eukaryota; Fungi; Ascomycota; Saccharomycetes; Phaffomycetales; Wickerhamomycetaceae.